AAUCAGGUGUCACUGAACUGAAGGGGUGAACUAGAGGAGAAGAGGGUGACUGGGCGGGGAGAAGCUGCGGGAGAAGCAAAGGGACGACUGAGGGAAUAAUCAGGAGACCACUGAGGCGUGAAAUUAGCUGGCUGGUGUUUGGUUGUUCUGGAGUGAUCUUCUGACUGGAAAAGAACUAUGUCAUGGAUCAAGGAAGGAGAACUGUCACUUUGGGAGCGGUUCUGUGCCAACAUCAUAAAGGCAGGCCCAAUGCCAAAACACAUUGCAUUCAUAAUGGAUGGGAACCGUCGCUAUGCCAAGAAGUGCCAGGUGGAGCGGCAGGAAGGCCACUCACAGGGCUUCAACAAGCUAGCUGAGACUCUGCGGUGGUGUUUGAACCUGGGCAUCCUAGAGGUGACGGUCUACGCAUUCAGCAUUGAGAACUUCAAACGCUCCAAGAGUGAGGUAGACGGGCUUAUGGAUCUGGCCCGGCAGAAGUUCAGCCGCUUGAUGGAAGAACAGUAAGAUGCUAUCAGA
RNAcentral lists this small RNA (516 nucleotides) under Pongo abelii (Sumatran orangutan). RNAcentral's name for it is "processed transcript". The record is from RNAcentral. Lineage: Eukaryota; Metazoa; Chordata; Mammalia; Primates; Hominidae.